Molecule: small RNA, 502 nt
Filed under: Vigna angularis var. angularis
Lineage: Eukaryota; Viridiplantae; Streptophyta; Magnoliopsida; Fabales; Fabaceae
Description: Non-protein coding transcript
Source: RNAcentral
GGAAUAUCAAAUAAGUCUCCUACUUAUUUUUCAUCUUAAUUUUUGCAAAAUUGAUAGGGGAGGCACUCUCUUCUUCUUUCUUUUCUAGUUCUAUUUCGAUUUCACAAGGAGGGAAAGGAGGGUUUUGUUUCCGGCGUCUCAAUAGUGUGAGGAGCUCGUUUCGUUAGCGUUCUUGUGGUGGUGGAGAUCGUGGAAGCUCCCUCUUUCAAAGCAAACUGCAACAACAACAGAAUGAGCUGCAACUUUCAUUUCGCGUUUCAGAUUAGGGUUUUGUGUUGGGAAUUUUAGGGUUUUGUUUCUUGUGUUCUUGAUUAUUUUCUGCACAUUUGGUUUCACAAUUUAGUGUUAGGGUUCCUACGGUUGGUUUUUCCUGUGAUGUUGUGAUUUGAGGUUUUCGUUUUCGAUUUAGAUUUUUGCUUGUGAAUCUGACUUUUGUAAUGAGGGAUUUUGAGUGUUUCUUCUCUGUUUUGUGAUUGAACAAAAGCUUUUACAUAUAUCUCUG